Molecule: ribosomal RNA, 468 nt
Filed under: uncultured bacterium
Lineage: Bacteria
Description: partial 16S ribosomal RNA
Rfam family: Bacterial small subunit ribosomal RNA
Source: RNAcentral
GACGAACGCUGGCGGCGUGCUUAACACAUGCAAGUCGAACGGAAAGGCCCUGCUUUUGUGGGGUGCUCGAGUGGCGAACGGGUGAGUAACACGUGAGUAACCUGCCCUUGACUUUGGGAUAACUUCAGGAAACUGGGGCUAAUACCGGAUAGGAGCUCCUGCUGCAUGGUGGGGGUUGGAAAGUUUCGGCGGUUGGGGAUGGACUCGGGGCUUAUCAGCUUGUUGGUGGGGUAGUGGCUUACCAAGGCUUUGACGGGUAGCCGGCCUGAGAGGGUGACCGGCCACAUUGGGACUGAGAUACGGCCCAGAGUCGUACGGGAGGCAGCAGUGGGGAAUAUUGCACAAUGGGGGGAAGCCUGAUGCAGCAACGCCGCGUGCGGGAUGACGGCCUUCGGGUUGUAAACCGCUUUCGCCUGUGACGAAGCGUGAGUGACGGUAAUGGGUAAAGAAGCACCGGCUAACUACGUG